AGCAUAGCGACAGAGAUAUUCCCCACAAGACUACUGCUCGUUGGACUGACUGAGUCUGAGUCGUUGGGUGGCCAAGGUGGAGAGGGAGAAGCGACUGAGACCCUUUGAGAAUUUCCAACAGCUCCUCAUAUUUACGUUGUCUUCAACUCCGACCCGACCAGCGGUCUUCAGCAUCGCUCUCUCUGCAACUACAGUUCACUUUAUCCCGCACGCCUCCUGUCCUUGCGCGAAGAAAUCAGAAGCUCCCCAACCGACUGCCGACGUGGACGUGGGGGAGACUCGGUCCUCGGAAAGGUUCAUGCAUCUAUCUGAGGACAGAGGGAGUGGGAGUCUGUAAAUUCCUCCCGGUUUUGACCCUUGCCUGUUCUGGACUCUGUACCCGCCUGCCUGACCACUCUGCCUGCCCUGAGCCUGCCCACCGACCUACACCUCUGGAUUACCAUCCUCUGGAUUAC
Long non-coding RNA from Oncorhynchus tshawytscha (Chinook salmon), 455 nucleotides. The record is from Ensembl. Lineage: Eukaryota; Metazoa; Chordata; Actinopteri; Salmoniformes; Salmonidae.